CUCGCUCAGAUGAGGCAAGUUCCUAAGCAGUGGAGACUGCGUUAAGCUCUGGCUGUGAAUAGUUUCCUCACCUGUGGAAUCUGACAGUGCCUGGAGCUACAGCGACCUUGCUCCUGUCACUGUUUACCUGCACCUCAAGCUGUCAUUUAGAUUUGAGAAAUUAAACUGUCAAGAAAAUCUGCUCGGUGCAGGCCAGCCAGGUGGUGUGUGGUGUCAGCAUCUGACACAGAUGUCCAGAGGAAAGUCUUCAUUGCCAUAAGGGCUUUGCUGUCACCUCCAACGUAAGAGGUGGCUAUGUUCCUGCCCUUCUUGGAAAGCUGGUGCUUCUUAAUAUAAACUGAGCAUGAACUUUAUAUAAACCCUGAACCCUAAGAAACAUGAGCUAUACCAACUGAUGGCCCUGAAGUAUCUUUCACAUAAACAGUUUGAGAUCAAGGACGCUGGCUGCACAGACCAGUGCGGAUCCAGGCAGCUGUGCCGCAACAAGGAUCAAUGCUCCCAUGGAGAGGAGGCAGGUGGGGGCCUCCGCAGGGGCUCAAGUGUUUGCAGAGCUGGGCCUCUAAGGUGGGCAAGGCCUCUUUCUUGAAGGGGACUGUGGCUCCACAGGGGGCUCUCAGAGGACUGGACAAUGGGGACAGCCCUGUGCCUGCCAGCCCACGGGAGGAACUGCCUGAUGGCUGCUUUUCCACAAACUUCUUUGGAAGGAUGAUUUGCCAUGGAAAGGAGUCAAGGGUGCAUUUAUCUUAUAAAUGAGGAAACUGAGGCCCACCUGGAUGAAGAUACUGGCCCAAAGUCCCAAGGUUUGAAGAAAUGUUGAUUAUCCAUCAUUUAUACGGUAAUGUGUAUAUUUAAGUGUGCCUUGCACUGUUACAGUUCCUAUAUGCAACACUUUAUCAGUCUCUGCUUCAUGAGAACUUACAAGAAAGAUAAAUGAAGGAAUAACAGGAAUUCAAUGAAACAAACUUCUCUCCUUUUAAGUUAUCACAUGAGUAGUGCUUCUGUGUAAAAACAAGGCAAUUUUGCAUCACCAAGGUUGGAGUUACACAGUUCUUGUGCUUAUCAACACUUCCCUUUCCUGCACAGGGGAACAGGCCAAGAAGGUGGCCUGAAAAGCUACUCAUCAGCUCCUUUGCCUUUUGCCAGGUAGAGGAAUAUAUGUGAGCAGUGUCGAAGUGAUAACUUUCUGUUUCCAAACUGAAGCAACAAGAAGGUUGAGGACCAUAUUAAAAAUGGAUACUUAAAAAAAUAAAAAACAAAAAUGUAUACUGACAUUACAGUGGGCUACAAAUAUAUUAACUUUUUUUUGAUCUUGGAGAAAUUUCAAGGGCAAAUAUAUUUGUUGAACAAAUGGAUAAGUAACAAACCAACCUCCUGCAAUUGAAGGAUUUCUGCUUCCAGACUCUUCAAUUUCUUUUCACUCUCUUUGGAUUGAGCAAAAAUCUCAUCUCUGGAUGCACGAGCUUCUUCUAAUUCACGUUGGUAAUCCUUCAUCUGAGCCUAAGAUUAAAUAAGAAGGUUUUGGGGUGGUUUACAUUCUUAGUUUUAGUUAAAAUAAAAUUUUUUUAGAGAUGAGCCCUGGCUGUGUUGCCCAGGCUGAUCUCAAACUCAAGGCCUCAAGCAUUGCUCCUGAUUACAAGUGUGAGCUGCGGUGCCUGGCCCCAUUCUUAGCUUGUAAACAUGGUAUUUUUUUUCUAGAUUAUAAAAGUAAUAUACAUUCAUUGUAAAUAUAAAAGUAUAUGGGAAUGACAAGGAUAUCGUAAGAAAACUACAGAUCAAAAUGAAAUCCCUUAUGAAUACAAAUGCAAAAAUCUUCAACAGAAUAGUAGCAAACUGAAUCUGGCAACAUGUAAAAAGGAUUAUACACCAUGACCAAGCAGGAUCUAUCUGAGGAAUGCAAGGUUGGUUUGACAACCAAAAAUGAAUUAAUGUAACCAUAUGAUCAUCACAAUAAAUGCUGAAGAAGCACUUGACAAAAUCUAAUACCCUUUCAAUAUAAAAAUGCUCAACAAGCUAUGAACAGAAGGAAAUUUCUUCAACUCUGAUUAAGGGCAUCAAUGAAAAACUGACAGCCAAUAUCAUACUUAAGGAUCAAUGACCAAAUGCUUUCCCUCUAAAAGAUGAGCAACAAGACAAGGAUGUCUGAUCUUGCCACUUCUACUUAACAAUGCAAUAGAGAUUCUAGCCAGGGUAAUUAAUUAGGCAAGAUAAAGAAAUAAAAGAUAUCCAGAUUGGAAAGGAAGAAGUAAAACUAGUUCAAUUUGCAGAUGAUCUGAUAUUGUAUAUAGAAAAUCUUAAGGAAGACACUGAAAGAAUUAGAACUGCUGGUAAUAUGGACAGUAAAAGAAAAGAAAGCCCACAAGAACUAAUUGAUGAGUUUAGCAAGAUUGCGGGAUACAAGAUCAACAUACAAACAUCAAUUAUAUUUCUAUACACCAACUAUGAACAUUCAAAAUAAAGCAAUUACAUUUAUAAUACCAUCAAAAGAAUAUAAACUUAGGUAUAAAGAAAAAAAGUGAAAGACUUGUAUACCAAGAACUACAAAACGUCACUGAAAAAAAUAAAAAAGAUCUAAAUAAAUGGAAAGAUUAUCCAUGUUUGUAGACCAGAAGACUUAAUAUUGUUAAAAUAGCAAUACUCUCCAAAUUGAUUUACACAUCAACACAAUAAACUAUCAAAACCCAAGCUGGCUUUUUUUUUUUUUUUUUUUGGUGGCAGAAAUUAAGCUAAGGCAGGUGUGGAAAUCAUUUACUCAAAGAAUUUAUAUCCAGAAUACAGAAUUGUUUCAACUCAAUAAUUAAAAGAGAGCUCAGCUGUUUAACCUCAUUAGUCAUUAGAGAAAUAAAAAUAAAAGCCACAAUGAAAUGUCACUUCACACCCACUAAGAUGGUUACAAUCAAAAGAUGGACAAUAACAAAUGUUGACAAGAUGUGGAGAAAUUGGAACCCUCAUACAUAGCUGGUAGGAACGUAAAACUGCAGUGACUGUGGGAAACAGUUUGGCAGUUCCUCAAAGUUAAACACAGAGGUACCAUAUAACCCAGCUCAAUUCCACUCCUAGGUAUAUUUCUGAGAAAACUGAAAGCACAUGUCCACACAAAUGCAUAUGAAUGUUCAUAGAGGCAUUAUUCAGAAGUCAAAAAAAUGGAAGCAACCCAAAUGUCCAACUGGGGGAUAGACGAGUAAAAUGUGGUAGAUGUAUCCACACAGUAGAGUGUUACUCAGUAAUAAAAAGGAGUGCGGUACUUGUUCAUGUGGCUACAUGGAUGAACUUUGAAAACAUCAUGCUAAGUGGAAAACCAGUCACAAAAGGCCACAUAUUGUAUGAUUCCACUGAUAUGAAAUAUGGAACAAAGGCAAAUUUAUAGAGACUGAAAGAUUAGUAGUUGAUUAACGCAGGAUGCAGCAGGGAUACAGGGAAUGGGGAGUGACAGCUAAUGGGUGGAGGAUUCUUUUGGGAGGGACCAAAAUGCCCCAAAUAUGAUAGUGGUGAUGGCUGAAUAAGCCUAUGAAUAACUAAAAAACACUGAAAACACUAAACUGGCGAAUUGUGUGGUAUGUGAACUAUAUUUCAAUAAAGCUGUUAAAUAAAA
Molecule: long non-coding RNA, 3589 nt
Filed under: Homo sapiens (human)
Lineage: Eukaryota; Metazoa; Chordata; Mammalia; Primates; Hominidae
Description: HSALNT0388376
Source: RNAcentral